Molecule: ribosomal RNA, 468 nt
Filed under: uncultured bacterium
Lineage: Bacteria
Description: partial 16S ribosomal RNA
Rfam family: Bacterial small subunit ribosomal RNA
Source: RNAcentral
GACGAACGCUGGCGGCGUGCUUAACACAUGCAAGUCGAACGGAAAGGCCCUGCUUUUGUGGGGUGCUCGAGUGGCGAACGGGUGAGUAACACGUGAGUAACCUGCCCUUGACUUUGGGAUAACUUCAGGAAACUGGGGCUAAUACCGGAUAGGAGCUCCUGCUGCAUGGUGGGGGUUGGAAAGUUUCGGCGGUUGGGGAUGGACUCGCGGCUUUUCAGCUUGUUGGUGGGGUAGUGGCCUACCAAGGCUUUGACGGGUAGCCGGCCUGAGAGGGUGACCGGCCACAUUGGGACUGAGAUACGGCCCAGACUCCUACGGGAGGCAGCAGUGGGGAAUAUUGCACAAUGGGCGGAAGCCUGAUGCAGCAACGCCGCGUGCGGGAUGACGGCCUUCGGGUUGUAAACCGCUUUCGCCUGUGACGAAGCGUGAGUGACGGUAAUGGGUAAAGAAGCACCGGCUAACUACGUG